AACUCAGACUUAAACCAUUGCAUCCACAUUGUGCCCUUAGUCUGCUCAUGAAACUUUUGAUGCAAAGAAACAAAAAACAGAGACUGCAACCAUGAGGGCAUUAGUACACAGAACACUUCACAUUUGGCCAAAAGCUAAGCACAAAAUGUAAAAGUCAUAGUCAACCAAUCUCAUUCUCUAGAAGCAAAGAUUACUUUCUCCUCAGUGGAGGCCCAAUGAAAAGCUCCAUUGAUUUUAGAAUGACGUAUAAAGCAAAUAAAAAUAAAAGAAUACGUCAAACACAAAUACAAGUCAAGCUACAAACUCAGACUUAAACCAUUGCAUCCACAUUGUGCACUUAGUCUGUUUAUGAAACUUAUGAUGCAAAGAAACAAAAAACAGAAACUGCAACCAUGAGGGCAUUCAUACACAGAACGCUUCACUUUCUCAUUUUAUCCUAUGUUUUCGUUCAAAUUUCUGCGCAGAAAGAAGCAGAAGCUCUGCUAAACUGGAAAAGCAGCUUAGUUUCUUCAUCUCUUCCUUCAUGGACUGCCAUUAACAG
Molecule: long non-coding RNA, 541 nt
Filed under: Citrus sinensis (sweet orange)
Lineage: Eukaryota; Viridiplantae; Streptophyta; Magnoliopsida; Sapindales; Rutaceae
Description: long non-coding RNA (CSIN_LNC005771)
Source: RNAcentral